CGAGAGAGUUUCAACGUGAGGCACAGGAGACCUGAGCGGACUUACGCCAAACCACAAAGUUCUCCUGUUGUCAAAGCUGCAGCUUUAAGAACUCCAUACCUUAAAAUCGAAGACUCCAGC
Limanda limanda (common dab) is the source of this 120-nucleotide long non-coding RNA. RefSeq lists it as uncharacterized. The transcript is spliced from 3 exons. Lineage: Eukaryota; Metazoa; Chordata; Actinopteri; Pleuronectiformes; Pleuronectidae. The record is from RefSeq and is a predicted model, not a curated record.